UGGGGAAUUUUGGACAAUGGGCGCAAGCCUGAUCCAGCCAUGCCGCGUGCGGGAAGAGGGCCUUCGGGUUGUAAACCGCUUUUGUCAGGGAAGAAAUCUUCUGAGUUAAUACCUCGGGAGGAUGACGGUACCUGAAGAAUAAGCACCGGCUAACUACGUGCCAGCAGCCGCGGUAAUACGUAGGGUGCAAGCGUUAAUCGGAAUUACUGGGCGUAAAGCGUGCGCAGGCGGUUUUGUAAGACAGAGGUGAAAUCCCCGGGCUCAACCUGGGAACUGCCUUUGUGACUGCAAGGCUUGAGUGCGGCAGAGGGGGAUGGAAUUCCGCGUGUAGCAGUGAAAUGCGUAGAUAUGCGGAGGAACACCGAUGGCGAAGGCAAUCCCCUGGGCCUGCACUGACGCUCAUGCACGAAAGCGUGGGGAGCAAACAGGAUUAGAUAGCCCUGGUAGUCCACGCCCUAAACGAUGUCAACUGGUUGUUGGGAAGGUUCCUUCUCAGUAACGUAGCUAACGCGUGAAGUUGACCGCCUGGGGAGUACGGCCGCAAGGUUG
This 549-nucleotide ribosomal RNA is filed under the name uncultured bacterium. RNAcentral describes it as "partial 16S ribosomal RNA". It matches the Rfam family "Bacterial small subunit ribosomal RNA", at positions 355 to 896 of the family's 1533-position model. The record is from RNAcentral.